AGAGAACCCGGAGUUCCCU
This 19-nucleotide unclassified non-coding RNA is filed under the name synthetic construct. RNAcentral describes it as "RNA (5'-R(*AP*GP*AP*GP*AP*AP*CP*CP*CP*GP*GP*AP*GP*UP*UP*CP*CP*CP*U)-3') from synthetic construct (PDB 6IA2, chain B)". The record is from RNAcentral.